Molecule: ribosomal RNA, 427 nt
Filed under: uncultured bacterium
Lineage: Bacteria
Description: bacterial SSU rRNA
Rfam family: Bacterial small subunit ribosomal RNA
Source: RNAcentral
UGGGGAAUUUUGGACAAUGGACGCAAGUCUGAUCCAGCCAUGCCGCGUGCGGGAAGAAGGUCUUCGGGUUGUAAACCGCUUUUGUCAGGGAAGAAACGAGUUUCUCUAAUACAGAGACUUAAUGACGGUACCUGAAGAAUAAGCACCGGCUAACUACGUGCCAGCAGCCGCGGUAAUACGUAGGGUGCAAGCGUUAAUCGGAAUUACUGGGCGUAAAGCGUGCGCAGGCGGUUAUAUAAGACAGAUGUGAAAUCCCCGGGCUCAACCUGGGAACUGCAUUUGUGACUGUAUAGCUAGAGUACGGCAGAGGGGGAUGGAAUUCCGCGUGUAGCAGCGAAAUGCGUAGAUAUGCGGAGGAACACCGAUGGCGAAGGCAAUCCCCUGGGCCUGUACUGACGCUCAUGCACGAAAGCGUGGGGAGCAAACA